CCCUUAGACGUUCUGGGCCGCACGCGCGCUACACUGACGAAGGCAACGAGCUUUCCUUUACCGAAAGGUACGGGUAAUCUUUUGAAACUUCGUCGUGCUGGGGAUAGAUCCUUGCAAUUUUUGAUCUUAAACGAGGAAUGCCUAGUAAGCGCAAGUCAUCAACUUGCGUUGAUUACGUCCCUGCCCUUUGUACACACCGCCCGUCGCUACUACCGAUUGAAUGGUUUAGUGAGGCCUUCGGAUCCGCGACUCGUUUUGUGGAGAAGUUGGACAAACUCAGUCAUUUAGAGGAGGUAAAAGUCGUAACA
This 308-nucleotide ribosomal RNA is filed under the name uncultured eukaryote. RNAcentral describes it as "partial 18S ribosomal RNA". It matches the Rfam family "Eukaryotic small subunit ribosomal RNA", at positions 1470 to 1796 of the family's 1831-position model. The record is from RNAcentral.